RNAcentral lists this ribosomal RNA (1217 nucleotides) under 'Albizia lebbeck' witches'-broom phytoplasma. Its description in RNAcentral is "bacterial SSU rRNA". It matches the Rfam family "Bacterial small subunit ribosomal RNA", at positions 163 to 1379 of the family's 1533-position model. The record is from RNAcentral. Lineage: Bacteria; Bacillati; Mycoplasmatota; Mollicutes; Acholeplasmatales; Acholeplasmataceae.
CUAAGACUGGAUAGGAAGAUAAAAGGCAUCUUUUAUCUUUUUAAAGACCUAGUAAUAGGUAUGCUUUAGGAGGGGCUUGCGCCAUAUUAGUUAGUUGGUAGGGUAAUGGCCUACCAAGACGAUGAUGUGUAGCUGGACUGAGAGGUUGAACAGCCACAUUGGGACUGAGACACGGCCCAAACUCCUACGGGAGGCAGCAGUAGGGAAUUUUCGGCAAUGGAGGAAACUCUGACCGAGCAACGCCGCGUGAAUGACGAAGUACUUCGGUAUGUAAAGUUCUUUUAUCAAGGAAGAAAAGCAAAUGGCGAACCAUUUGUUUGCCGGUACUUGAUGAAUAAGCCCCGGCUAAUUAUGUGCCAGCAGCCGCGGUAAGACAUAAGGGGCAAGUGUUAUCCGGAAUUAUUGGGCGUAAAGGGUGCGUAGGCGGUCUAGUAAGUCAGUGGUGUAAUGGCAACGCUUAACGUUGUCCGGCUAUUGAAACUGCUAAACUUGAGUUAGAUAGAGGCGAGUGGAAUUCCAUGUGUAGCGGUAAAAUGCGUAAAUAUAUGGAGGAACACCAGAGGCGUAGGCGGCUCGCUGGGUCUUAACUGACGCUGAGGCACGAAAGCGUGGGGAGCAAACAGGAUUAGAUACCCUGGUAGUCCACGCCGUAAACGAUGAGUACUAAGUGUCGGGUUAAACCGGUACUGAAGUUAACACAUUAAGUACUCCGCCUGAGUAGUACGUACGCAAGUAUGAAACUUAAAGGAAUUGACGGGACUCCGCACAAGCGGUGGAUCAUGUUGUUUAAUUCGAAGAUACCCGAAAAACCUUACCAGGUCUUGACAUGUUUUUGCAAAAUGAUAGUAAUAUCGUGGAGGUUACCAGAAACACAGGUGGUGCAUGGUUGUCGUCAGCUCGUGUCGUGAGAUGUUAGGUUAAGUCCUAAAACGAGCGAAACCCUUAUCGUUAGUUGCCAGCACGUUAUGGUGGGGACUUUAACGAGACUGCCAAUGAUAAAUUGGAGGAAGGUGAGGAUCACGUCAAAUCAGCAUGCCCCUUAUGACCUGGGCUACAAACGUGAUACAAUGGCUGUUACAAAGGGUAGCUGAAACGCAAGUUCUUGGCCAAUCCCCAAAAACAGUCCCAGUCCGGAUUGAAGUCUGCAACUCGACUUCAUGAAGUUGGAAUCGCUAGUAAUCGCGAAUCAGCAUGUCGCGGUGAAUACGUUCUCGGGG